This 232-nucleotide long non-coding RNA is filed under the name Elaeis guineensis (African oil palm). Its description in RNAcentral is "long non-coding RNA (EGUI_LNC027100)". The record is from RNAcentral. Lineage: Eukaryota; Viridiplantae; Streptophyta; Magnoliopsida; Arecales; Arecaceae.
GAUCAGCCCUUAUAAGGGAAAGGGAAGGAAAGAAAAAAAGAGGAGGAAAGGGAAGAGUGAACAUCAUCUUUGUUUAGAUAGCCCUCAUAAGGAAAAGAAAAGGAGAUUAAAAGAUCAUUAUACCCUAAUUUUAUUUUAAGAUCUACAGGUAUUUUUAUCUUUUAAUCUGUCACAAGUUUCUUUCCCUCUCGAUUCUUUUAAAUUGAAAAAAUUAGAAAACUAUUUAACGGAG